Molecule: unclassified non-coding RNA, 286 nt
Filed under: Hevea brasiliensis (rubber tree)
Lineage: Eukaryota; Viridiplantae; Streptophyta; Magnoliopsida; Malpighiales; Euphorbiaceae
Source: RNAcentral
UUGCUUGGGUUAUAGUUUUGUGGGCUUUAAUGGAUCUGAGCCUAUGUCAUACAGGACCGCCAUGGCCUUAGUCUCAAACACGGGCGGCGCCUUUCUUGCAAUGGCUGCUCUUGGGUUGAGAGAAAAGCUUUCAAAGCUCAUACCACAAUCGAUCCGGCUUGCUUGUGCAGAAGGCCUGGGGCUUUUCAUUUCUUUUGUUGGGUUAGAGGUCCACCAGAGUGUGGGCCUCAUUGGGCCAGAUCCAUCCACUUUGGUGACAGUCACAUCCUGCUCGACAACAAUCCGG